GGAUUAGAUACCCUGGUAGUCCACGCCGUAAACGAUGCUCACUGGUUCUGUGCGAUAUAUUGUACGGGAUUAAGCGAAAGUAUUAAGUGAGCCACCUGGGGAGUACGUCGGCAACGAUGAAACUCAAAGGAAUUGACGGGGGCCCGCACAAGCGGAGGAACAUGUGGUUUAAUUCGAUGAUACGCGAGGAACCUUACCUGGGUUUAAAUGGGAAAUGCCGUAUUUGGAAACAGAUAUUCUCUUCGGAGCGUUUUUCAAGGUGCUGCAUGGUUGUCGUCAGCUCGUGCCGUGAGGUGUCGGGUUAAGUCCCAUAACGAGCGCAACCCUUACCGUUAGUUGCUAGCAUGUAAUGAUGAGCACUCUAACGGGACUGCCACCGUAAGGUGAGAGGAAGGCGGGGAUGACGUCAAAUCAGCACGGCCCUUACACCCAGGGCUACACACGUGUUACAAUGGCCGGUACAGAGGGCCGCUACCAGGUGACUGGAUGCCAAUCUCAAAAGCCGGUCGUAGUUCGGAUUGGAGUCUGUAACCCGACUCCAUGAAGUUGGAUUCGCUAGUAAUCGCGCAUCAGCCAUGGCGCGGUGAAUACGUUCCCGGGCCUUGUACACACCGCCCGUCAAGCCAUGGAAGCCGGGGGUGCCUGAAGUCCGUAACCGCGAGGAUCGGCCUAGGGCAAAACUGGUAACUGGGGCUAAGUCGUAACAAGGUAGCCGUACCGGAAGGUGCGGCUG
RNAcentral lists this ribosomal RNA (733 nucleotides) under gut metagenome. RNAcentral's name for it is "bacterial SSU rRNA". It matches the Rfam family "Bacterial small subunit ribosomal RNA", at positions 775 to 1520 of the family's 1533-position model. The record is from RNAcentral.